UAUAUUCAAUAGUUUUUUGAACUUUUUGAAAAUAUUUUUAAAGGACCUUAAGGAUCAGUAUUUGCUUUUCUUCGUCACACUAAUACUGUCUGUUACGUCUCUAUGCCCGAACGCCUGAACUAAUUUUAAUAAAAUUUCGUAAGAAGUUUGCUGUCAUAUUUGCAUAUAGACUACAUUUUACCAGCAAUAACCAAUAUCGGUACCUUAAAUUAAUUAAU
Molecule: long non-coding RNA, 218 nt
Organism: Trichoplusia ni (cabbage looper)
Lineage: Eukaryota; Metazoa; Arthropoda; Insecta; Lepidoptera; Noctuidae
Exons: 3
Source: RefSeq, a predicted model, not a curated record